CCCUUAGAUGUUCGGGGCCGCACGCGCGCUACACUGAAGGAAUCAGCACGUCUUUCUCCUUGUCCGAAAGGACUGGGUAACCCGCUGAACCUCCUUCGUGCUAGGGAUUGGGGCUUGUAAUUCUUCCCCAUGAACGAGGAAUUCCCAGUAAGCGCGAGUCAUAAGCUCGCGUUGAUUACGUCCCUGCCCUUUGUACACACCGCCCGUCGCUACUACCGAUUGGAUGGUUUAGUGAGAUCCUCGGAUUGGUCCCGGCGCGGCCUCUGGUCGUGCCGGAGUGCCGAAAAGAAUGUCGAACCUGAUCAUCUAGAGGAAGUAAAAGUCGUAACA
Molecule: ribosomal RNA, 330 nt
Filed under: uncultured eukaryote
Lineage: Eukaryota
Description: partial 18S ribosomal RNA
Rfam family: Eukaryotic small subunit ribosomal RNA
Source: RNAcentral